GCAAGUAGGGUGGGAGUUUUCAAACUUAACUAAUGAAAAAAGUAAUCCCAGAAUGAACAAAAAGACGUUUCAUCCCAGGAUAUCACUAUUAUAUCAAAGGAUAAGAAGUACAGAUCUGAGAGAAAUAGAAUCCUGCACAGAAGCUUCUCCGUCUCUCGUCUUUGUCAUUAGGUACAAUCAGCAAAAGGUAGUAAGGAAAUUGCCAACUAACUGAAAGCAGCAGAUGUGAUGAUGAAAUCAAGGUAUUUCCUAAGGUUCAGAAGACCUUACAGAAAUGACAGAAAUGGGCGAUUUAUUUCAUGUGGCUGUUGGUUCGAAAUUAAUUAAAAUGCAAGCAACGAAGAAAGAAAUAGC
Long non-coding RNA from Pantherophis guttatus, 354 nucleotides. RefSeq lists it as uncharacterized. Lineage: Eukaryota; Metazoa; Chordata; Lepidosauria; Squamata; Colubridae. The record is from RefSeq and is a predicted model, not a curated record.